UACAGAGGGGGCAAGCGUUGUUCGGAAUUACUGGGCGUAAAGGGCGCGUAGGCGGCCAUGCGUGUCUUCCGUGAAAUCCCUCGGCUUAACUGAGGACGUGCGGAAGAAACUGCAAGGCUUGAGUCCGGGAGAGGGGGGUGGAAUUCCCAGUGUAGCGGUGAAAUGCGUAGAGAUUGGGAGGAACACCGGUGGCGAAGGCGGCCCCCUGGACCGGUACUGACGCUGAGGCGCGAAAGCGUGGGGAGCAAACGGG
RNAcentral lists this ribosomal RNA (253 nucleotides) under uncultured bacterium. RNAcentral's name for it is "partial 16S ribosomal RNA". It matches the Rfam family "Bacterial small subunit ribosomal RNA", at positions 524 to 776 of the family's 1533-position model. The record is from RNAcentral.